This 253-nucleotide ribosomal RNA is filed under the name uncultured bacterium. Its description in RNAcentral is "partial 16S ribosomal RNA". It matches the Rfam family "Bacterial small subunit ribosomal RNA", at positions 524 to 776 of the family's 1533-position model. The record is from RNAcentral.
UACGUAGGGGGCAAGCGUUGUCCGGAUUUAUUGGGCGUAAAGAGCGUGUAGGCGGCCAGGUAGGUCAGCUGUGAAAACUCGAGGCUCAACCUCGAGACGUCGGUUGAAACCACCUGGCUAGAGUCCGGAAGAGGAGAGUGGAAUUCCUGGUGUAGCGGUGAAAUGCGCAGAUAUCAGGAGGAACACCGGUGGCGAAGGCGGAUCUCUGGGCCAUUACUGACGCUGAGGAGCGAAAGCGUGGGGAGCGAACAGG